This 171-nucleotide microRNA precursor is filed under the name Brassica napus (rape). RNAcentral's name for it is "MIR9563 microRNA precursor family". It matches the Rfam family "MIR9563 microRNA precursor family". The record is from Rfam by way of RNAcentral. Lineage: Eukaryota; Viridiplantae; Streptophyta; Magnoliopsida; Brassicales; Brassicaceae.
AGAAGUUAAGAAACUGUUUCUUAACUUUUAACUAAAAAAGCUAAGAACCGGUUCUUAAAUAAGGACUUUAAGAACCGGUUCGAUGUGCUAGGGUUUAAUACAAUGAUUAACCCGAAGUUCUUAGAGUUGACGGUUUUUAGUUAAAAGUUAAGAAACAGUUUCUUAACUUCC